RNAcentral lists this ribosomal RNA (492 nucleotides) under uncultured bacterium. Its description in RNAcentral is "partial 16S ribosomal RNA". It matches the Rfam family "Bacterial small subunit ribosomal RNA", at positions 28 to 507 of the family's 1533-position model. The record is from RNAcentral.
GACGAACGCUGGCGGCGUGCUUAACACAUGCAAGUCAAACGGAAAGGCCCCCACUUUUUUGGUGGGGGUGCUCGAGUGGCGAACGGGUGAGUAACACGUGGGUGAUCUGCCCUGUACUUCGGGAUAAGCUUGGGAAACUGGGUCUAAUACCGGAUAGGACCAUGGUUUAGUGUCUCAUGGUGGAAAAAUUAUUGUUUUGGUGCAGGAUGAGCUCGCGGCCUAUCAGCUUGUUGGUGGGGUAAUGGCCUACCAAGGCGUCGACGGGCAGCCGGCCUGAGAGGGUGGACGGCCACAUUGGGACUGAGAUACGGCCCAGACUCCUACGGGAGGCAGCAGUGGGGAAUAUUGCACAAUGGGCGCAAGCCUGAGGCAGCGACGCCGCGUGGGGGAUGACGGCCGUCGGGUUGUAAACUCCUUUCGUUAGGGACGAAGCCGCACCUUUUUUGGGUGUGGUGACGGUACCUUUGUUAAGAAGCACCGGCUAACUACGUG